AGGAGGAUGAGAUAGGAAGGAAGCUGAGUCUAGUAUUUGAGAUCAGGUCUGAACAAGGUCCUGCUCUCUGGUGCUUUCCUGAUUUGAUGGGAAUAUCCUCAGAAGCUCUCCCAGAGCCAAUGGGACCCAGGCAGGAGGUGGACCUUGAUAUCAUCAGAUCAUUCAGUAAGCUGAAAAGUUCACUUCACUACUUCCACUCUACUGAGAAAUGCUGAGCUGAGAGCUGGAAGGAUUUUUGGUUGUUUUCCUGACGUUAGGCUGUUUGAUUUCAGGCCAGUGCAGUGGUCUCAAGGUUUUCCCUUCCGAGCUCAAAAGCAAUUGAUACCUUUGAAGUUCAGCUCAUUGUGCUUUGGUAUGUUUUGCCUUGAUCAAUGUCUUAUGUCAUCUUUGAUAGAAGCUCUUGCUGCCACAGCCAUGACUUGGAAGAUUUCUCACAUCUCCUCUUCCUACCCACCUUCCCCUAUGAAUGAUUUAAGCUAUCUCACUUUUUUAUUAAUAGUUCUCUGGAGGCCUUGGGUACCCUUAGGUUGACUCUCUUGGCCUUACAAAGUUAAAUGUCUACUCGGGGCUUGCAAAAAAAAUUCUUAGUAGCUUAAGAGGUGUCAUUAUUCAGCAAACAUUUCUGACUUUCCCCCCAAAUCAUCUUCAUAACCACAGUGCGUAUGAUUUAACUAGAAUCAAAAAAAACAAUGUAGAUUGGAAGGGACAUCAGGAGGCUAUCUAGUCCAAAACACCGGUCAAAUGUGAGUUAACCUUCGACCAGUAUUUUGUUAGUAAGCUUCAGUUUUGUAAGUAAGUUUCAGAUUUCUUGGAGUUUUGUGCUGUGCUCUGUGACCAUAAGACUUUCAAUAAGGUUAGUAGACAUAAUCAGAGUGGAGGGAAAAUACGAGGGAUUCUGGAAGGACAAAUGUAAAGGUGUAGAUCUUCUUCUUUCCACCAGCAUAUUACAUCAUUGUUGUUCCAUGAACCUAAGUGGUAAGUGGGAAAGUUACCCAGUUCAUCAACUCCUAAUUGUAUCUCUGAAAAUGAACCUUAAACAGCUGUUUUGGUUAAGGAAGUGAUCUUUCAGAUCCCUGAUGCUUCAUAAAUCUCUACAGAACCCAGUAAUAUUUUAAGCACUUUGACAAACAAACAAACAAAAACAAAUGAAUGAAAACAAAACAACAACAAAACAACAACAAAAAACAAGAACAGAACAGGCAGUGGAAUUGUUAAGUACUCAGUGUCUCUGGAAAACAGGGCACUUAUUUAAUUCCUAACUGUAAGCACCCACAUUUGAAAAUACAGGUCAUAACUUGAUAAAAAAAGUAACACAAAUUCCAUUUGCUAGAAUUAUAAUGUGCUAGGCAAACAGUACACCCCCAAAAUUUAGCCAUCUGCUUAAUUAAUCCUUCCAUGGAUUGUGUCUCUCUAUACAUGUUUGUGUGAUCCCACUGAGGGCAAUGGGUUUACAUAGGUGUGUCAGACCAGUGUUUGGCUCUAUGAGUCCCCCAGAUUUGAAAGAUAUCUGGCUCAGCCUGCAUUCUGAUUCAUAAAAAUAAUACAGUUUCCUGAUGUUCUGGGACCUGUUAGCCUUUGUUUUUGUUUUCUCCUCAUUUUGUUACUUUCUGAGGAAUUGCAUUACAAGUAAAGCUACAAAUAAUAAUCAGGUUGUGGCACCUUGGAGAGAGCUUUCACAAAACAUCAUGGAGGAAAUAGGCACACACAAAACCUGUGAAGAAAAUACAGUAGGUUGUACAUACACUUCUCCCACUCAUUGUUUGCAAUUUGCACCAUUUGUGUCAGUGUUUGUAGGCAGCCCUAGAAAACAAGCCAUUGCCUCACUGUGAAACCUAGCCUUGAUACUAAAACUAUUAUAGAGCUCAUGACUCUACUUCCUCUCCCUGACUUUACUUGCUUUCAAAACCCUGUGAUGGUGAGUGCAAUUCUACUGCUGUCCACUUAACCUACAACUUCACAUGAGUUGUAUGCAAACUUUACAGGCCAUCCAGGUAGAAAAUCUUCCAACCUUCACUGGAAAAUGCCUUUAUCAGCUGACACAACUAGCUCAGCUUAGAGUCUACUCUGGCCUCCAGUGUGAUCCACUGGCUUGUGGUGGGAAUGUAACCCAAAUUCCACUACUCCAAUUCAGGCAAA
Non-coding RNA from Anas platyrhynchos (mallard), 2136 nucleotides. The record is from RefSeq and is a predicted model, not a curated record. Lineage: Eukaryota; Metazoa; Chordata; Aves; Anseriformes; Anatidae.